This is a long non-coding RNA of Zophobas morio, 369 nucleotides long. RefSeq lists it as uncharacterized. Lineage: Eukaryota; Metazoa; Arthropoda; Insecta; Coleoptera; Tenebrionidae. The record is from RefSeq and is a predicted model, not a curated record. The transcript is spliced from 3 exons.
AAUAGGCUUACUUUUCUCAAUAGUCAACAUUUUGACCGGCUUUACCUUUAGGAAUUGCGUAACUUCUGAAAAUUGUACUCAUGGAAAUAUAUUAAUUCCAUUUCGAAAUUGUCGGAACAGUCGUACAUUGACCCCGUUGAUUAUAAACUUUCCAGUGCGAAAUGAAUUUUCAAAGCCUCCAAAAAUAAUAGUACUCAAUUCCGGGUCUUCUAAUCCCAAUUAAAUUCUUCCUGAAGCUUUUGCAGCCCUCAAACAUUGAAGUUCGCACGCGAAUCUUCACUUGCUAAAAAGUUUUUACUGGCGGGAUCUUCGUUACUUCUUUAAACUUUUUAUAUAAAUAUUUUUUUUUUGCUACUAAUUGAGUUAUAA